RNAcentral lists this ribosomal RNA (372 nucleotides) under uncultured bacterium. Its description in RNAcentral is "bacterial SSU rRNA". It matches the Rfam family "Bacterial small subunit ribosomal RNA", at positions 30 to 402 of the family's 1533-position model. The record is from RNAcentral.
AUUGAACGCUGGCGGCAUGCCUUACACAUGCAAGUCGAACGGCAGCACGGGAGCAAUCCUGGUGGCGAGUGGCGAACGGGUGAGUAAUAUAUCGGAACGUGCCCGGUCGUGGGGGAUAACGUAGCGAAAGCUACGCUAAUACCGCAUACGAUCUACGGAUGAAAGCGGGGGAUCGCAAGACCUCGCGCGAUUGGAGCGGCCGAUAUCAGAUUAGGUAGUUGGUGAGGUAAAGGCUCACCAAGCCGACGAUCUGUAGCUGGUCUGAGAGGACGACCAGCCACACUGGGACUGAGACACGGCCCAGACUCCUACGGGAGGCAGCAGUGGGGAAUUUUGGACAAUGGGCGCAAGCCUGAUCCAGCAAUGCCGCGU